UACGGAGGGUGCAAGCGUUAUCCGGAUUCACUGGGUUUAAAGGGUGCGUAGGCGGGCGGGUAAGUCCGUGGUGAAAUCUCUGAGCUUAACUCAGAAACUGCCAUGGAUACUAUUUGUCUUGAAUAUUGUGGAGGUAAGCGGAAUAUGUCAUGUAGCGGUGAAAUGCUUAGAUAUGACAUAGAACACCAAUUGCGAAGGCAGCUUACUACACAGUUAUUGACGCUGAGGCACGAAAGCGUGGGGAUCAAACAGG
Molecule: ribosomal RNA, 253 nt
Filed under: uncultured bacterium
Lineage: Bacteria
Description: partial 16S ribosomal RNA
Rfam family: Bacterial small subunit ribosomal RNA
Source: RNAcentral